AUGGCGAUGAUAGUCUUCGAUGCAUGGAGUUCAUCCGCCCCACCUCCCACGCAUGAACAUGACAAGGGGCUCGCGCUCGCUAUUAUCGCUGACCAACAGAAUAUGGGGGUUGACGAAUGCGAUGAUCCAGAGAGCAAGGUCGACUAUGUACCUCUCAAUGAGGAGGAGCUCGCGCUCACCACUAUUGCUGGCCAACAGCCCACGGCGGCUGACGAAUGCGGUGAUCCAGAGAGCGAGGUCGACUUUGUCCCUCUCAGAGUCGUGAGGCCGGAUGAUGAGCAGCCAAAGCAUCCUGGCGGGCGGGUUAAAGUGUGUGCACAUAAACCCAGGACGAAGAAAGUGAAGAGAACGCGGCUGGCAGAUUCCAAGAGUGACAAGGGUGAUAAUUUUGCGCCAAUGGGGAAGAGAGGGAGGCCGACACGCGCCAAGUCUGCUAAGAGCAAGACGUGGUGUAACACGGAGUUUGUUUACGGCGACAACAUCAACAUUAGUAGCAGUAGUGAGAGCGAUAGCGAGGGAAACAAAGAUGCUGAUUAUAAUCCUACGAGGAAGACAGGUAGGCUGGUACGCGCCAAGUCUGUCAAGAGUAAUAUGUGGCGUAAACCGGAGUUUGUUUACGGUGACAACCUCGACAUUAGCAGUAGUGCGAGCGAGACUGAGGGAAACAAAGAUGAUGAUUAUGAUCCGAUGGCAUCCGACAUUGAUGGCCACCCAAAGAAAUGUGCAAGAAGAUCUCGAGGGAGGCCAACACGCGCCAAGUCAGCUAAGAGCAAGAUGUGGCGUAAACCAGAGUUUGUUAACAGUGACAACAUUAACAUUAGUAGCAAUGGUGAGAGCGAGAGCGAGAGAAACAAAGAUGAUGAUUAUGAUCCAACGGCACCUGACGCUGAUGGCCACCGCCAGAAAUAUGCAAGCUCCCAUGACAUACGUGGCUCUGCUUUCGAAAGAGCUUCGGAGGUAAUGAAGAAAUUGACAGGAAAAGGAGCAAGCUUCAUCAAGCUUAUGCAACCCUCACACGUCGAUAGGGUUUUCUGGCUUGGUAUCCCGCGUAAAUUUUGCAAAGAGCAUCUUCCGGAGAAAGACACUCUGAUGACCCUAGAAGAUGAAGAAGGACGGAGUUACAAUGCAAACUACCUUGUCGCUAGGGAUGGACUUAGCGGCGGGUGGAAAAACUUUGCAGAAAGGCAUAGCCUUAAGGUCGACGACACCCUCGUCUUUCGACUCGUGAGCUCGGAAAAAUUCAAGGUGUAUAUAGUAAGAGAGAAUGAGCUGACGACAACUGAUGAUAAUGUCAACUCCAAGGAGGAGGAUCCAAAUAUUACUACCGGGGUCAGCGGCACAAGAGCCAACGACGACAGCAACAACGAGAUCGACCUAGUAGCAGCCAAUGAUGAUGGGCUGCCGUCGGUAGAGAAUAUGAGACUGAGAGCCCUCGCGUCAAAGAUGGCGACUGUCCAGGAUGCUCUCAAGGCGGUGAAUGAGGAGGUGGGGGAGCUGGAGUUGAGCGUGAAGAAGGCCGUGCAGGCUGUGCGGCGGAUGACAACCUGA
This 1548-nucleotide ribosomal RNA is filed under the name Triticum aestivum (bread wheat). RNAcentral describes it as "partial small subunit ribosomal RNA". Lineage: Eukaryota; Viridiplantae; Streptophyta; Magnoliopsida; Poales; Poaceae. The record is from RNAcentral.